Molecule: ribosomal RNA, 253 nt
Filed under: uncultured bacterium
Lineage: Bacteria
Description: partial 16S ribosomal RNA
Rfam family: Bacterial small subunit ribosomal RNA
Source: RNAcentral
GACGAAGGGGGCUAGCGUUGUUCGGAAUUACUGGGCGUAAAGCGUGUGUAGGUGGUUGUCACAGUCAGGUGUGAAAGCCUUGAGCUCAACUCAAGAAAUGCACUUGAUACUAGGCGACUAGAGGACCGGAGAGGAUAGUGGAAUUCCCAGUGUAGUGGUGAAAUACGUAGAGAUUGGGAAGAACACCAGUGGCGAAGGCGGCUAUCUGGACGGUUUCUGACACUAAGACUCGAAAGCGUGGGGAGCAAACAGG